AAGAAUUUAAAGGUCGAACAGACCUAACAAUUAAGCACCUACACCUAACUAUAAUCCUAAUCCAACAUCGAGGUCGCAAACUUAUCCCGUCAAUAUGAACUCUCAAGAAAAAUUACG
Molecule: ribosomal RNA, 117 nt
Filed under: Cladomorphinae sp. CH-2014
Lineage: Eukaryota; Metazoa; Arthropoda; Insecta; Phasmatodea; Phasmatidae
Description: partial 16S ribosomal RNA
Source: RNAcentral